RNAcentral lists this transfer RNA (75 nucleotides) under Candidatus Bathyarchaeota archaeon. Its description in RNAcentral is "tRNA-Ile". It matches the Rfam family "tRNA". Rfam says of the family: Transfer RNA (tRNA) molecules are approximately 80 nucleotides in length. Their secondary structure includes four short double-helical elements and three loops (D, anti-codon, and T loops). RNAcentral also lists the same sequence under 1 other name. Lineage: Archaea; Thermoproteati; Candidatus Bathyarchaeota. The record is from RNAcentral.
GGGCCGGUAGCUCAGCUUGGCUGGAGCGUUCGGCUGAUAACCGAAAGGUCGAGAGUUCAAAUCUCUCUCGGCCCA